GCCAGGCAUGGUGGUACACACCUGUAAUCCCAGCAGCUCUGGAGGCUGAGGCAGGAGGAUCAUGAGUUCAAAGCCAACUUCAGCAUGGUGAGGUGCUUAGCAACUGAGUGAGAUCCUGUCUCUA
This 124-nucleotide small RNA is filed under the name Marmota monax (woodchuck). The record is from RNAcentral. Lineage: Eukaryota; Metazoa; Chordata; Mammalia; Rodentia; Sciuridae.